UGGAUUGAAUGCUUGCCAAAGGGGCCCCACAGCCCCUGGGAAGGUCUGAGAGAAAAGCCAUUACUCACUCGUGAUGAGUGUCUCACUAACAGUGAGAUUGAGUGAACAGAAACAGUGACCAGAGUAGCAAGCUUAUAAUGAGCAGAAGAUCCAAAGGAGAUGCUCUGAUUGCUAGCUCUCAUGGCUGAAAGACACUCAUGGCUAGCUACUGUAGUGCAAUGGGCAAGGUGCCUUCUUCAAGGCAUAACUCAAUUCAGACUACUCUCAAUCCA
Molecule: RNase P RNA, 272 nt
Filed under: Amphimedon queenslandica
Lineage: Eukaryota; Metazoa; Porifera; Demospongiae; Haplosclerida; Niphatidae
Description: Nuclear RNase P
Rfam family: Nuclear RNase P
About the family: Ribonuclease P (RNase P) is a ubiquitous endoribonuclease, found in archaea, bacteria and eukarya as well as chloroplasts and mitochondria. Its best characterised activity is the generation of mature 5'-ends of tRNAs by cleaving the 5'-leader elements of precursor-tRNAs. Cellular RNase Ps are ribonucleoproteins.
Source: Rfam by way of RNAcentral